Molecule: transfer RNA, 77 nt
Filed under: Psychromonas arctica
Lineage: Bacteria; Pseudomonadati; Pseudomonadota; Gammaproteobacteria; Alteromonadales; Psychromonadaceae
Also listed under: 4 other names
Description: tRNA-Pro
Rfam family: tRNA
About the family: Transfer RNA (tRNA) molecules are approximately 80 nucleotides in length. Their secondary structure includes four short double-helical elements and three loops (D, anti-codon, and T loops).
Source: RNAcentral
CGGUAUGUAGCGCAGCUUGGUAGCGCACUGUCAUGGGGUGUCAGGGGUCAGAAGUUCAAAUCUUCUCAUACCGACCA